CGCGUAGGCGGCCAUGUAAGUCAGAUGUGAAAGCCCGGGGCUCAACCCAGGAAGUGCAUUUGAAACUGCCAUACUUGAGUAUGGGAGAGGAGAGUGGAAUUCCCAGUGUAGAGGUGAAAUUCGUAGAUAUUGGGAGGAACACCCGUGGCGAAGGCGACUCUCUGGACCAAUACUGACGCUGAGACGCGAAAGCGUGGGGAGCAAACA
This 207-nucleotide ribosomal RNA is filed under the name uncultured bacterium. Its description in RNAcentral is "partial 16S ribosomal RNA". It matches the Rfam family "Bacterial small subunit ribosomal RNA", at positions 568 to 774 of the family's 1533-position model. The record is from RNAcentral.